RNAcentral lists this non-coding RNA (104 nucleotides) under Flavobacterium beibuense. Its description in RNAcentral is "SAM-I sequence". It matches the Rfam family "SAM riboswitch aptamer (S box leader)". From Rfam's summary of the family: The SAM riboswitch is found upstream of a number of genes which code for proteins involved in methionine or cysteine biosynthesis in Gram-positive bacteria. The SAM riboswitch acts at the level of transcription termination control. RNAcentral also lists the same sequence under 1 other name. The record is from RNAcentral. Lineage: Bacteria; Pseudomonadati; Bacteroidota; Flavobacteriia; Flavobacteriales; Flavobacteriaceae.
UUGUUAUCACGAAAGGCAGAGGGAAUAGACCCGAUGAAGCCUUAGCAACCCUUUAAUCUUUAAAGAAGGUGCUAAAUUCUACCGCAAGCGCGGAUAGAUAACAC